This is an RNA transcript of Pieris brassicae (large cabbage white), 2483 nucleotides long. It is a transcript of the gene named annexin B10, with no coding region annotated. The transcript has 9 exons. NCBI's taxonomy places the organism in Eukaryota, Metazoa, Arthropoda, Insecta, Lepidoptera, Pieridae. The record is from RefSeq and is a predicted model, not a curated record.
GUAACAUUAGGAAUGUUUAAAUAUUCAUUUGUAUUAUAAAAGGCCUUAGCAAGCAACUUUAUUUUAACGUACGAUUUAAAUUUAUUUAUUGACAACAUUUGUAUAUCACUAGGGAUUUUGUUGAAAAAACGUAUACAAUUGCCUUGGAAAGAAUAACUCGUUCGCAGCCUUGUAGUUGGUGCGCUAAUUUUGUCUUUAUUACGAGUAGGUACUAUAAUUAUGGAAACUACUUUUAUUUUUAAAGAUAUCUAUAUUUUUCCGCACAUACAAAAUAUUCUCAUAAAUGUAUUGCCAAAGUCAAAAUAUGUAAUUCUUUAAACUUCAUUCGGACCGACUCCCGUAGGGAUAGACCGCAGAUCGCUCUUAUAGCUUUGCACUACAAGUAUGGAUUUAACGUCAACUUUAUUACCCCACAAAAUAACACCAUAUGACAUGAUACUAUGAAAAUAGCUCAAAUAAACAAGCUUUGCUGUAUUCUCAUCCGUAAGAUCGCAUAUCUUUUACACUGCGAACUGUGACAGGUGCAAUGCUUGCAAGUUUUCCAUGCCGAUGGGAAGUCGCCUAUUCCCAAGCAUUCUGUAAGACUUUGAAAUCGCACACCAAGACCAGCGCCGAAGGUACCUGCCUGCCAUUAGUGUUAAGUGCCUUCCAAACUGAUACAAUAAGUAUUCGUGAUUCUUAGAAAUGAAGCUUGUAUUUGAUUGUAGUCAUUUUACAUUUUAAGAUGCGACUGUCAGUGUCAAUCGUCAAGUCGAAUGCUGCAAAUGGUUGAAGUUUUCUCUGCUGUCAAAAUACUCUAAUGUCAGCGCUAAUUGACAGCUAACGAAAUCCGAAUUCCAAUCUUAAAGGAAGUUGUUUUGUUAAAAAGUUGUCGUGGUUCAAGAUUUAGAGUUAUAUCAAGUAGAUUCAAAUUGUCUAAAUCAACUUCGUGCUAUUUGUAAAAACGGAAAAGCUGUAUAACAAAACAUGGCAACUGUGCAUGAACCAACUGUUGUGGGAGUUGCUCACUUCAAUGCAGCUGAAGAUGCAGCGGCUUUACGAGGAGCCAUGAAAGGAUUUGGUACAGAUGAAGAUGCAAUCAUAGAAAUUCUUACAUCCAGAUCAAAUGCCCAGCGGCAGGCCAUCUCACAAGCUUUUACUCUUGAGUAUGGGAGGGACAUCAUUGAAGACCUCAAGUCAGAACUUGGUGGUCAUUUUGAAGAUGUUAUAGUUGCUUUGAUGCUGCCACCAGCUGAGUACCUUUGCAAAGAGUUGCACCAUUGCAUGGAAGGCAUGGGAACUGAUGAAAAAGUACUGGUAGAAAUCCUAUGUACUCGAACUAAGAAAGAGAUUGCUGAGAUUGUUGAAGCAUAUGAAAGAUUAUACAAUCGGCCAUUAGCAGAACAUAUGUGUUCAGAAACAUCUGGAGAUUUUCGUAGACUUCUAACUCUGAUUGUUACUGCAAAAAAACAGGGCGCUCGUGAUGAAGAAGCCGGAGUCGAUCAGGCUAGAGCAGCCGAGGCAGCUCAGCAGCUUUACGACGCGGGAGAGGCCAAGUGGGGAACUGAUGAGGAGAUAUUCAACAAGAUUCUAGCACACGAGAGUUUUGGCCAACUGCGCGCUAUUUUUGAGGAGUACAAGAACAUCGCGGGUCGUACGAUUGAGCAGGCAAUCAAGGCCGAGAUCGCUGGAGAAUUAUCUGAGGCACUCAGUGCAAUCGUGGAAUGCGUGGAAAACCAAGCGGCCUGGUUCGCUCAGCGGCUUCGGGAUGCCAUGCAAGGUCUCGGCACUGACGAUAGGACCCUUAUCAGGAUCGUCGUCUCCCGGUCCGAGCGAGACCUCGCCGCUAUCAAGCGGGAGUACGAGGUCUUGUAUGACAAGACUCUCGGCAGCGAAGUCAGGUGGAAUGUGUGGAGAACUCGGCGGCUUGGUUCGCAAAGAGACUGCGCAGUUCCAUGCAAGGGGGCGGGACCGAAGAUAAGGCCUUGAUAAGGAUUAUCGUGAACCGAUCCGAGAUCGAUCUCGCGGCUGUCAAGAGGGAGUAUGAAAGUCUGUAUGACAAGACUCUGCAGAGUGACGUUGCGCAGGGAGAGACUUCUGGCGACUACAGGAAGGCUCUCAUCGCUCUACUUGGACCCGCCUAAGUUAAAUUUAAGAAUUGAGAUAGUGUAAGGAAUUGUAUUGCACUAAAAGUGUUUUUGGCUGCUAUUCACUUUAUAUAAAAGUUUUCUCGAAUAUCUUUUUCUAGAUUGUUAUACGUGUAAGUUUUUUUUAUAAUAAAAAUAUUUAAUUUUUCCUACUUAGGGUAGAGAAACAAAACAUUUUCCUAAGUUUAUGGCCUUAAUGAUGCAAAAAUGCUUUGAAUGUUGAAUAAGUCCAGAGAUAUAUGAAGUGUUAAAAGACAUUUAUUUAUACGAAAUCAUUCCACCGUUUCAAUUGAUUGUACUCAGUAUUUAGAUAGCUUUUGUUUAUUAUUCAUAAUAUUUAUUAAAUACUAUUUUGAA